Molecule: ribosomal RNA, 640 nt
Filed under: Listeria monocytogenes
Lineage: Bacteria; Bacillati; Bacillota; Bacilli; Caryophanales; Listeriaceae
Description: bacterial SSU rRNA
Rfam family: Bacterial small subunit ribosomal RNA
Source: RNAcentral
UUUAAAGAGAGUUUGAUCCUGGCUCAGGACGAACGCUGGCGGCGUGCCUAAUACAUGCAAGUCGAACGAACGGAGGAAGAGCUUGCUCUUCCAAAGUUAGUGGCGGACGGGUGAGUAACACGUGGGCAACCUGCCUGUAAGUUGGGGAUAACUCCGGGAAACCGGGGCUAAUACCGAAUGAUAAAGUGUGGCGCAUGCCACGCUUUUGAAAGAUGGUUUCGGCUAUCGCUUACAGAUGGGCCCGCGGUGCAUUAGCUAGUUGGUAGGGUAAUGGCCUACCAAGGCAACGAUGCAUAGCCGACCUGAGAGGGUGAUCGGCCACACUGGGACUGAGACACGGCCCAGACUCCUACGGGAGGCAGCAGUAGGGAAUCUUCCGCAAUGGACGAAAGUCUGACGGAGCAACGCCGCGUGUAUGAAGAAGGUUUUCGGAUCGUAAAGUACUGUUGUUAGAGAAGAACAAGGAUAAGAGUAACUGCUUGUCCCUUGACGGUAUCUAACCAGAAAGCCACGGCUAACUACGUGCCAGCAGCCGCGGUAAUACGUAGGUGGCAAGCGUUGUCCGGAUUUAUUGGGCGUAAAGCGCGCGCAGGCGGUCUUUUAAGUCUGAUGUGAAAGCCCCCGGCUUAACCGGGGAGGG